GUUGUAUGGUUAAGUGACUAAGCGUACACGGUGGAUGCCUUGGCAGUCAGAGGCGAUGAAGGACGUAGUAACUUGCGAUAAGCGUAGAUGAGGCAGUAACAGCCACUUGAGUCUACGAUUUCCGAAUGGGGAAACCCACUGGCAUAAGCCAGUAUCAUUGAGUGAAUACAUAGCUCAAUGAAGCGAACCGGGAGAACUGAAACAUCUAAGUACCCCGAGGAAAAGAAAUCAACCGAGAUUCCGAAAGUAGCGGCGAGCGAAAUUGGAUUAGCCCUUAAGCUUUACAUGUGUUAGACGAACGGUCUGGAAAGUCCGACGAUACAGGGU
This 327-nucleotide ribosomal RNA is filed under the name Vibrio vulnificus. Its description in RNAcentral is "partial 23S ribosomal RNA". It matches the Rfam family "Bacterial large subunit ribosomal RNA", at positions 1 to 365 of the family's 2925-position model. The record is from RNAcentral. Lineage: Bacteria; Pseudomonadati; Pseudomonadota; Gammaproteobacteria; Vibrionales; Vibrionaceae.